This is a long non-coding RNA of Rhodamnia argentea, 454 nucleotides long. RefSeq lists it as uncharacterized. The record is from RefSeq and is a predicted model, not a curated record. The transcript has 2 exons. NCBI's taxonomy places the organism in Eukaryota, Viridiplantae, Streptophyta, Magnoliopsida, Myrtales, Myrtaceae.
GAGCGGUCAAACAACAAUAUGAAUUGCUUAAGUCAUAGAAAGAUGAAGAAAUCAGAGAGGUCAAUGAGCGAUAUAAUCUCUAGAGUUUCGAAUAGAAUUGAUCUUGCGACGCCUCAACCUCAAUCACAAUCGGGUUCCUCCUGUACCUUCCACUAAUCAAUUAGGUGAUGGGCACAAUGAUGAACAGCACAAUGAUAACGAGAUUGCUGAUGAUGAUGAUGAUUUUGUCAGUCGUCUUAUUGAUUAAACAGCAUGCUUGAAGAGAGAUGCUUUCACGGACAUCUCUCCUGUCUGAACUGGUAAGAUUGGAAGUGUCUUUUCAUAUCUAUUUAUUAAUAGUUUGAGUGGAUAUGCACUCUUGCUGUUAUUUUGUGCCAAAAUUCACAACUUUGCACUCGUGGUAGCCACACCUUUUAAUCUGUAUAAAUCUAAUCUAUGCAAAAGUUCUCUUAUC